CUCGGGCCCAGAACCAGGGCCGUAUGUCCUCGUGGCGCGCGCGGACCAGCUCGGCGGUCCCGUCACCGAUACGGUAAACAAGCAGCGGCUCUCCAAUAACGCUUGACCUGUAUUCCUAACAUAUAUUUAGCGGCGGAGGGAUAUGAUUUUUCAAACAAUUUGCAAUGGAAACGAGAAGAGAAGCAGAUCGCUCUGGAUUUCUCCUCUAAUUCGAGAUAGAGAUCUUCCAAAAUUUAAUUUUUGACUGUAUCCGGGAUAUGUCAACUACUUUCAUGAGCAUAUCAUUUCGGAAUGAUUUAUUGAAAGGUGGCCUGCUUUUUCCGUCCAAAGCAACAUUUCAAUCGAAAUUUCGAUUAUGACAUUGGGAUAUACUGAUGAGACAGUAUUUUUUAUGCUGAAUUGUACCGAGACAUACGCUACAUUCUUGGCGACGGAGAAGUUACGUCGAAGCGACCGUGCACGGUGAAUCGCUGCUGCAUUCCCAGACAUAACGGGUUGACCGGCACGCAACCAGUAGAUCCAUCCAAAAUUGUCGAAAACUUCACGACUACACGUGUUAUACCGAAAAAUUCCAAGGUCCUUGAGCGAGAAUGACGGAGAAAAAUUUGUCUCGGAAUAAAUCUACAUCGCUUAUUCGAGCGAAUCAAUUGCACACAUUUGCGCGGGCAUCGGACGAUUAAUUACAAGCGAGAUUAUGUUCUAAAGUUACGGCUCAUUAUCGAAGUGCUUAAGCUAAGAUGAAAAUCUAUGGAGAGUAUCGUCAGUGAUUAUAUAAUAAGGCGGUUCAGCAGUUUAAGUGCGUAUCGCAGUUUGAAAGAAUUCAUUCCGCAUACAUUGGAAUAUCUAAUUAAUAUUGAGAUUACAUAAAGAAACGUAUGUAUUUUUACAUUCGCGUAAGUUUUUAACUUUGUAUUUUUUCAACUGUCAUCCAGCUUUAGAGACUGAAAAUAGUAUUAUCUUGCGAGAUCACGAGAUACAUACGAAAUUUUUAAUUGAUUGAGACUUGGUGUGUUCUACUUGUGUUCAAAUAAGCCUGUUGCAUGACUUUGCAACAAAGAUAAUCAGUCGCCAAGAGAGACGCGGGGAAGAUUUUCGGAAAGAAUAACACGGAGAUAAAGUUAUACAAGACCAGAAGAGAUCGGCGAUAAUUUUCUUGGUGGUAUAAGCGCAUAAGAACACAUUCCAUGAGGUUCGAUCGGCGCGGCUGACACUUUUAUGGGGUGUCGCGCGGGGAAACAACCACGUUCGUUUCUUUCUUCCGAUCGAUGAUAACGGUCCGCCCGUGUUCGCUUCGCUGUGAUGAUUACGCGAAAGGAAGCAGAACCAAACAUAAAAUCUCGCGGAAUGCAAUCGACAUAUAAAGACGAUGGCAAAGCGGAGAUAAAUAUUUUGUUACGAUAAAUUUAUCUUUGUAUUAUCGAAUUUCGGACAAAAUUUAUACAUUUACGUUUUCCUUAUCAUUAUUUAUUUAUUUUUUAAAAAUAUAAUAAUAUAAUGUAAUUUUAAAGAAACGAAUCAUGACUCACAAAGGGCUAAUAUAGAAAUUAUACCGAGACUGGAUGUUGCACAAGGCAUAUGACCGCGUGCUGAAUUGUGUUUAUAUUCACAUAGGUAGGCAGAUAGAGCGGCUUUGCGUAUCCUCAUUCGUAACCAAAUACGUCUGUACGCCGACAUGAAUUUCGUAGCCACACCUACGAUCGUACACGGUAUUCAUUACAUGCUCAUAUUCCAUGCGCAGUUUCCAUAGCGGAUGCAAAUGAAAUAUCGAUCGAAGAAAUGUAUUGAAGCGCACCGACAAUGAGUUCAAUUACGCAAUAAUAUUCGACAUACUCUCUUAUAAAUUGCAAAGAUCUUCAUGUGUAAUUUUUAAAGCAAUGCGACAAAAAUUAACUAAAAUUGUUUUUAAUUCUAUUUUUUAUUCUGUUUUAAUUUCUCUUUAAAAAAGUUUACUUCAAUUAUUUUAAUUUUUUCACUACAUAUGUUUAUACGUGCUCUUAUAUAUCUAUAUAAGAGAUUGUCAGAUAAGAUAGUGACAUUAUGUAAGAAAUAAUUUGUGUUAAUAUUGUGAAACAUACUGUAGUCGAGAAGUAUCGAAAAACACGGAUGAGAGAAGAACUUGUAUUCUUCGUUUCUCGUCCGCAAUGCGAGAGGAAAGGGUAGAGAUAAUAAUGUGGUUGCCGAGUGUAUUGCUACCUUCCUGCGUGAACACGCAGUCACAACAGCAGAGAGUAUACUAUACAUGGCAUCUAAAUAAUAUUAUUCGUGCACGUGCAAUGGCGUAGCGGAGUUAUGUAUCCUCUAGUCUUUCUAUGGAUAACAAUUUCACUUUCUUAAUGCAUGUCUUCUCUUCUCGAAACUUUUAACUUUUUUCCUUCAAUAAUUGAUAAAUAUAGAAAUAUCAAAAAUAAAUAGGAUAUAAAUUAUUUAGAUUUAAUUUUAAUUUCAAAUAAAACUUUGACCGCGGAAAAUUAAUUUAAAUAUAAACUACUUGUAUAUCUAUUGUUCAUUACAUGUUUUUAGUGCAUUCUUUUACUGAAGCUGGAUGCGUCUUUGUUUUAUAAUCAAGUUGUAUAGUAACGUGAUUUAAACGGCAUGAGGGAGAUGAAUGUCUCGUCAUUUGGUAUUGUGGAUCACGGCCUCGCGACGGUGGGAGGUAGAUGCGGAAAAAUUCGCGUUCAGGAAGCCGAAGAAAACGAUGACAUCGCAUAUGGGUCAGUAGGACGUCACGUGAAUACGUGAAAUCGCAAGUCAACGACCUGCUUGAUGACCCGCUGACUUAGAGACACGCUUGCUUCGCCUGGGACGCGGAUGAACUCGAGCAACCUAUGUACAUUCCUGGAUGACUCUCGUCUGAAGAAGUACGCAAAACACGAAAAGUAGCAUGGAUCGCUCAGAGGCACUUAUUACGGAAAAGUAAAACACGUCCUGAUAACGUCAAUACUUUAAAAUCGGCUCGAAUGAUUUUUUCGCCAACUUUUUUCUCGAAAUUUUCAAUCUUCGAUAUUAAAAUAUCCGCGUUGAGGAUAAUUAGCGAAAAAGUUUCUCUCGAAGGACCACGUUAUGUAUACCUAUGAUAGAAUUACUUCAGCGUGUGCGUAUUGAGCAAGAUAAGAGGCGGAGAUUUUGCAAGCUGUCGUUUGCAGAUAUUGCAGAGGCCGUUUUUAAAAGUUACCGUGAACCAUGAAGCAGACGCAAAGGAGAAUACCGGAAAUCGCUUACGACACCUUCCUGAUCGCGCGAUAGUUAACGGAAAUCUAGCCGCGGAGUAGUCUAACAGUACUAAAGGUCAUAAAAAAAAUAACGCUCCGUAGCGUAACGUAGUGAAUGAUUUCCAUGAUAAGAUCGCCACGAAUACCUACAUUGUGAAUUGUGCUCGCGCGCACGUGAGAGAGAAGUAUGUACAGGCAGAACUCAAGGUGGAUCCGUGCCAAUGACGUAUUAAUUAACGAAUAAUAUUUUCCUGAAUAUAUGCUAAUAUUUAAAAGUAUAAGCUAUAUAUUUUGAGUUAAGAAAAAAUACGAUUAAAUACAUUACUAUUAAA
Cataglyphis hispanica is the source of this 3541-nucleotide long non-coding RNA. RefSeq lists it as uncharacterized. Lineage: Eukaryota; Metazoa; Arthropoda; Insecta; Hymenoptera; Formicidae. The record is from RefSeq and is a predicted model, not a curated record. The transcript has 5 exons.